ACGUAGGGUGCGAGCGUUAAUCGGAAUUACUGGGCGUAAAGCGCAUGCAGGCGGUUCGUUAAGUCAGAUGUGAAAUCCCCGGGCUUAACCUGGGAACGGCGCUUGAAACUGGCGGACUGGAGUACUGUAGAGGGGGGUGGAAUUCCAGGUGUAGCGGUGAAAUGCGUAGAGAUGUGGAGGAACACCGAUGGCGAAGGCAGCCCCCUGGGCAGAUACUGACGCUCA
This 225-nucleotide ribosomal RNA is filed under the name uncultured prokaryote. RNAcentral describes it as "partial 16S ribosomal RNA". It matches the Rfam family "Bacterial small subunit ribosomal RNA", at positions 525 to 749 of the family's 1533-position model. The record is from RNAcentral.